CCUACGGGAGGCAGCAGUGAGGAAUAUUGGUCAAUGGGCGAGAGCCUGAACCAGCCAAGUCGCGUGAAGGAAGAAGGAUCUAUGGUUUGUAAACUUCUUUUGUAUGGGAGUAAAGUGCGGAACGUGUUGCUGUUGGUCUGUACCAUAUGAAUAAGCAUCGGCUAACUCCGUGCCAGCAGCCGCGGUAAUACGGAGGGUGUGGGCGUUAUCCGGAUUUAUUGGGUUUAAAGGGUGCGUAGGUGGUUAAUUAAGUCAGGGGUGAAAGUUUGUGGGCCAACCAUAGAACUGCCGUUGAAACUGGUGGACUAGAGUGUAUGAGAGGUAUGCGGAAUGCGUGGUGUAGCGGUGAAAUGCAUAGAUAUCACGCAGAACUCCGAUUGCGAAGGCAGCUUAC
RNAcentral lists this ribosomal RNA (394 nucleotides) under uncultured bacterium. RNAcentral's name for it is "partial 16S ribosomal RNA". It matches the Rfam family "Bacterial small subunit ribosomal RNA", at positions 338 to 729 of the family's 1533-position model. The record is from RNAcentral.